AUUGAACGCUGGCGGCAGGCCUAACACAUGCAAGUCGAGCGAGCGGCGGACGGGUGAGUAAUGUGUGGGAACCUGCCUGAUGGAGGGGGAUAACCACGGGAACCGGGAGCUAAAACCGCAUCCCAUAAGAGGUGGCGAGAUGGGAGUAGCUCGUAGGUGGGGUAAUGGCUCACCUAGGCGACGGUCCCUAGCUGGUAUGAGAGGAUGACCAGCCACAUGUGAACUGAGACACCGUCCAGACUCCUACGUGAGGCCGCAGUGGGGAAUAGUGGACAAUGGGCGCAAUCCUUAUGCAGCCAUGCCGAGUGUAUGAAGAAGGCCUUCGGGUUGUAAAGUACUUUCAGCGGUUAUGCGGGACCCGCAGAAGAAGCACCGGCUAACUCCGUGCCAGCAGCCGCGGUAAUAA
RNAcentral lists this ribosomal RNA (406 nucleotides) under uncultured bacterium. RNAcentral describes it as "partial 16S ribosomal RNA". It matches the Rfam family "Bacterial small subunit ribosomal RNA", at positions 30 to 526 of the family's 1533-position model. The record is from RNAcentral.